AUGGUGCCAAGCUAUAUUCCUGUCCCAAGUCAUCCAAUAAAACAAUUUAUUGAUGAUCUGACCUUGAGUAUUGCAGAACAGCGGCUAGUCAUCUGUUGGGUGCAGUCCUCUCAUGAAUUUCUCGCUCAUGACGCCCAACCGAUGUUUUGGUUCAGUCAAAAAAAUGCCCAGCUAAAGCCACCAGGAUCAUAUUUUUUAUGCACUUGUCAGGCAGUACAGUUGCUCUACCAUUGGGUUCAUGAGCACGUCACUGAGUUGGCUAGUAGUUGUUACUUUGCAAAAUUUUGGCGCACUAGAGAUUCCCAUGAUUUAGUACAUCACUGGGUAGUUCCUAUAUGUGCCAGUAUACAAGCGGGUGGCAAUCUAUUCAAGUAUAAGUGGAGCGGACAAUAUGAAUGGAGACUGUUGAAGCCUAAUUUCCUGCAAGCUAGUUCUGGCCCCUGUUCUGAUGCAUAUUUCUAUGGGAACCAAUGCACGGUGGUCGUUGAAGUGUUGGUGUAUCUUGUUGGGCAGCUAAGUGACAUGUUUCAUAAGUUACCAGCUAUAUAUCUAUGGUAUAUGCUUUGGCCGAUGUGUUGGUCGCUCUUGGUGGUUCUCGACGGCCCAGGCCCAUGUGUUGGUCGCUCUUGGUGGGCUGGCUGCCUUGCCGUGGGUCGACGUGGCCGUGAUAGUAAUUGGGUCGCUGACAUCCCCUCCUCCUUGACAGCCGGCUUGCCCCCAAGCUGGUGCCCGUUCUUCACUGGUUCUGCAAAAUCCAAUCCUCCUGGAUCCCAUUGA
RNAcentral lists this ribosomal RNA (777 nucleotides) under Triticum aestivum (bread wheat). RNAcentral describes it as "partial small subunit ribosomal RNA". The record is from RNAcentral. Lineage: Eukaryota; Viridiplantae; Streptophyta; Magnoliopsida; Poales; Poaceae.